This 667-nucleotide long non-coding RNA is filed under the name Homo sapiens (human). Its description in RNAcentral is "non-protein coding lnc-TMEM176B-3:2". The record is from RNAcentral. Lineage: Eukaryota; Metazoa; Chordata; Mammalia; Primates; Hominidae.
CUGCUGAUCCUCCUGGUGGGCAAAACAGGCUGUGGGAAAAGCACCACAGGGAACAGCAUCCUUGGCCAGCCUGUGUUUGAGUGCAAGCUGGGGGCCCAGUCAGUAACCAGGACAUGCCAGGUGGAGACAGGAACAUGGAAUGGGAGGAAAGUCCUGGUGGUCGACACGCUCUCCAUCUUUGAGUCCAAGGUCCAGACUCAAGAGCUGUACAAGAACAUCGGGGACUGCUACCUGCUCUCUGCCCUCGGGCCCCAUGUGCUGCUUCUGGUGAUCCAGCUGGGCGUUUCACUGCUCAGGACACAGUGGCCAUCAGGAAGGUGAAGGAGGUUUUUGGGGCAGGGUCAUGAGACAUGUGGUCAUCCUCUUCACCCACAAAGGGGACUUAGGGAGCCAGGCCCUGGAUGACUAUGUAGCAAACAUGGACAACCUCAGCCUGAAGGACCUGGUGCAGGAAUGUGAGAGAAGGUACUGUGCCUUCAACAACCGGGCUGCCGGGGAGGAGCAGAGGCAGCAGCAGGCAGAGCUCCUGGCUGCGAUCGAGAGGCUGGGGAGGGAGCGAGAGGGCUCCUUCUACAGCAAUAACCUCUUCCUGGAUGCCCAGCUGCUCCAGAGAGGCAGGGCUGGGGCCUGCCAAGAAGACUACAGGCAGUACCUGGCCAAGGUGGAA